RNAcentral lists this ribosomal RNA (374 nucleotides) under uncultured prokaryote. RNAcentral describes it as "bacterial SSU rRNA". It matches the Rfam family "Bacterial small subunit ribosomal RNA", at positions 524 to 896 of the family's 1533-position model. The record is from RNAcentral.
UACAGAGGCGGCAAGCGUUGUUCGGAUUUACUGGGCGUAAAGGGUGCGUAGGCGGUUCCGUGUGUCGGAUGUGAAAGCCCACAGCUCAACUGUGGAACGGCAUUCGAAACUACGGUGCUAGAGUACGGGAGAGGAGAGCGGAAUUCUGGGUGUAGCAGUGAAAUGCGUAGAUAUCCAGAAGAACACCGGUGGCGAAGGCGGCUCUCUGGACCGAUACUGACGCUGAGGCACGAAAGCGGGGGGAGCAAACAGGAUUAGAUCCCCUGGUAGCCCCAGCCCUAAGGGGUGUCCACUUGAUGUGGGUGGGAUUGCCCCCGCCAGUGUCGGAGCUAACGUGUUAAGUGCACCGCCUGGGGAGUACGGUCGCAAGAUUA